GAUGAACGCUGACAGAAUGCUUAACACAUGCAAGUCUUUGGCGAAGCUGUGCUUGCACCGCCUAGCCAAGGCGGACGGGUGAGUAACGCGUAAGGAACUUGCCCUGCAGUCAGGGAUAACAGACGGAAACGACUGAUAAGACCUGGUAAAGUCAGGCGGACUCAUGUCCAGCCUGAUGAAAAGUGAUGCUGCAGGAGAGCCUUGCGUCCUAUUAGCUUGUUGGUGGGGUAACGGCCCACCAAGGCGAUGAUAGGUAGCCGGCCUGAGAGGGUGGACGGCCACAAGGGGACUGAGAUACGGCCCUUACUCCUACGGGAGGCAGCAGUGGGGAAUAUUGGACAAUGGGGGCAACCCUGAUCCAGCAAUUCUGUGUGCACGAUGAAGGUUUUCGGAUUGUAAAGUGCUUUCAGCAGGGAAGAAAAAAAUGACGGUACCUGCAGAAGAAGCGACGGCUAAAUACGUG
RNAcentral lists this ribosomal RNA (463 nucleotides) under uncultured bacterium. RNAcentral's name for it is "partial 16S ribosomal RNA". It matches the Rfam family "Bacterial small subunit ribosomal RNA", at positions 28 to 507 of the family's 1533-position model. The record is from RNAcentral.